GGCUCAGAUUGAACGCUGGCGGCAUGCCUUACACAUGCAAGUCGAACGGUAACAGGUCUUCGGAUGCUGACGAGUGGCGAACGGGUGAGUAAUACAUCGGAACGUGCCCGAUCGUGGGGGAUAACGGAGCGAAAGCUUUGCUAAUACCGCAUACGAUCUACGGAUGAAAGCAGGGGACCGCAAGGCCUUGCGCGGACGGAGCGGCCGAUGGCAGAUUAGGUAGUUGGUGGGAUAAAAGCUUACCAAGCCGACGAUCUGUAGCUGGUCUGAGAGGACGACCAGCCACACUGGGACUGAGACACGGCCCAGACUCCUACGGGAGGCAGCAGUGGGGAAUUUUGGACAAUGGGCGAAAGCCUGAUCCAGCCAUGCCGCGUGCAGGAUGAAGGCCUUCGGGUUGUAAACUGCUUUUGUACGGAACGAAAAGACUCCUUCUAAUAAAGGGGGUCCAUGACGGUACCGUAAGAAUAAGCACCGGCUAACUACGUGCCAGCAGCCGCGGUAAUACGUAGGGUGCAAGCGUUAAUCGGAAUUACUGGGCGUAAAGCGUGCGCAGGCGGUUAUAUAAGACAGAUGUGAAAUCCCCGGGCUCAACCUGGGAACUGCAUUUGUGACUGUAUAGCUAGAGUACGGUAGAGGGGGAUGGAAUUCCGCGUGUAGCAGUGAAAUGCGUAGAUAUGCGGANGAACACCGAUGGCGAAGGCAAUCCCCUGGANCUGUACUGACGCUCAUGCACGAAAGCGUGG
RNAcentral lists this ribosomal RNA (746 nucleotides) under Ralstonia sp. enrichment culture. Its description in RNAcentral is "bacterial SSU rRNA". It matches the Rfam family "Bacterial small subunit ribosomal RNA", at positions 21 to 764 of the family's 1533-position model. The record is from RNAcentral. Lineage: Bacteria; Pseudomonadati; Pseudomonadota; Betaproteobacteria; Burkholderiales; Burkholderiaceae.